AUGGAAAGCAGAGAAGAGCCAACAUCUGUUUGUGCUGAAGCUAAGCAGCGUUUUCUGCAGACAUCAGCCAAGACGCAGCAGCAAUGCCAUUGGUGGGAAGACGGAGUUAUUUGGGGAAUGCUGGACUCCGCACCAUGCGAACGGCAGGGGAGGAGAGAGAGACCCGCGAGCGGAGCGGAGGCAAGGGCAGCCCCAGGGCAGGUGAGAGGCGGGAGCGCGGGCUCCGGGCCAGGGAAGAUGCCCGUGGGACGGAGGCGCUGGAGCCGUGCGUCAUCCCAGGACUCCCACGUGCAGCAGCGUCCGGCCGCGGCAGCCCCUCUGCAUCUGCUCCGAGCAGCAGGGCUUGAGCUGUAUAACCAAAUAAGCAGCGUCUCGCACCGUUUUCUCCCCCCGGGAGCAUCCUGCCCUCCAUGCUAACGCGGGGGAUGGGCAGGCAGCGGGCCGGAGGUGGCGGCAGCCACCGGAGCAAGGCUGGACGCCGAAGGGAAAGUGAGGUAUCGCAGGGUCUAAGACUUGCACCCAGGGUCCCCUCCAGCCCCUGCGAAGCGCAUUAACAGUGUUUGCUGGCUGAAGCAUCUCAGGCAUCUGCUCUUUAGAGAGUGGGUUUAAUCUGCUAUUUGCCAGUGGCAGGAAGAAAUAUUUGCAUUACGUGCACAGCAGUAGGAGAAAACCUCAACCAAGAUUUUGGGCUGGGAAUUUAUAAGGUCUCCGGUUACCACCUUCACUUGGUCCCAAACCCUAGAGCUGAAGCGGGAAUCAGCAGCUCCCUGGUUACGUCUGGAAGGAGCAUGUUGGAGACCAAAGGAAAGACCCAGCUCGGGGGAAACCCCACGGGCACAGGGAGCUCCUGCUCCUCCUCACCUGAGCAGGGCCAGCGCGAGGCGACAYGCCAGUUUGGGCAAAGCCUGAGGGGGGGACCUGAACCAGCCGCGGUGCAGGAAGCACCUGAGAUUGGAGCGCAAUGUGGCCAAGGGACCAUGAACGGGGACGCAGCGAGCCGCCGCGGCUUGGGAGAGCCCCGAGCACAUGCGGGCACACGUCCGAGGGACCCUGCGGGCUUACCCACAUCACGGACAAGAAAACCUGAUGAAAACAGACCUGUGGAAGAGGAACCCGAUCGCGAGGGACCUCCUGCUUCCCACUGAUGCCGGAGAAGGCAACAACCGGGUUGGAAGGGGCUGAGCGGGGCUGGCGAGCUCUCGGCGUCCUCCCAGCCGAGUGUGCGGGCAAGCUCAGGGCCACGCACGAGGUGGCGUGCCCAGCGGUGGCCUGGGACAGGACCAGGCUGUCCUCGGGGUCCUCGGGCAGGAGCCAGGUUCUCUCUGCCCUGGUGGCCUCAAGCUGGAGCCCCAAAGCGAUUCCCCGAGCCGCCAAGCCGCACGCCUCUGCCGGCACGGCCGCCCCUCUUGCACGUCCC
RNAcentral lists this long non-coding RNA (1417 nucleotides) under Apteryx rowi (Okarito brown kiwi). Its description in RNAcentral is "lncRNA (ENSARWG00000007600.1)". The record is from RNAcentral. Lineage: Eukaryota; Metazoa; Chordata; Aves; Apterygiformes; Apterygidae.